Molecule: ribosomal RNA, 253 nt
Filed under: uncultured bacterium
Lineage: Bacteria
Description: partial 16S ribosomal RNA
Rfam family: Bacterial small subunit ribosomal RNA
Source: RNAcentral
UACGAAGGGGGCGAGCGUUGUUCGGAGUUACUGGGCGUAAAGGGCGCGUAGGCGGCGAUCCAAGUUAGGCGUGAAAGCCCCGGGCUCAACCUGGGAAUUGCGCUUAAGACUGGAUUGCUCGAGUGCGGGAGAGGUGAGUGGAAUUCCCAGUGUAGAGGUGAAAUUCGUAGAUAUUGGGAAGAACACCAGUGGCGAAGGCGGCUCACUGGCCCGCAACUGACGCUGAGGUGCGAAAGCGUGGGGAGCAAACAGG